AACUUUCCACCACCGAAUCUCUGGUUCCCCCCUUCAUUAAAAACCCCACCAAAUGGCAAUCCCUAGGGGGAUUGGCACCCUUCGGAAACCUCCAAUUCCUUGACCCCCCUUGGCCCCCGCCGGCUUCCCGGGGGGCUUGCCGGCCGAACCGGCUUUC
This 157-nucleotide ribosomal RNA is filed under the name [Candida] sp. PLM-2006a. Its description in RNAcentral is "Candida sp. PLM-2006a 5.8S rRNA". Lineage: Eukaryota; Fungi; Ascomycota; Saccharomycetes; Saccharomycetales. The record is from RNAcentral.